Molecule: ribosomal RNA, 1128 nt
Filed under: Salmonella enterica
Lineage: Bacteria; Pseudomonadati; Pseudomonadota; Gammaproteobacteria; Enterobacterales; Enterobacteriaceae
Description: partial 23S ribosomal RNA
Rfam family: Bacterial large subunit ribosomal RNA
Source: RNAcentral
AAUCCAUAGGUUAAUGAGGCGAACCGGGGGAACUGAAACAUCUAAGUACCCCGAGGAAAAGAAAUCAACCGAGAUUCCCCCAGUAGCGGCGAGCGAACGGGGAGGAGCCCAGAGCCUGAAUCAGCAUGUGUGUUAGUGGAAGCGUCUGGAAAGGCGCGCGAUACAGGGUGACAGCCCCGUACACAAAAGCGCAUGUGCUGUGAGCUCGAUGAGUAGGGCGGGACACGUGGUAUCCUGUCUGAAUAUGGGGGGACCAUCCUCCAAGGCUAAAUACUCCUGACUGACCGAUAGUGAACCAGUACCGUGAGGGAAAGGCGAAAAGAACCCCGGCGAGGGGAGUGAAAAAGAACCUGAAACCGUGUACGUACAAGCAGUGGGAGCCCCACCACCAAAGCAUUUGCUGUACCGUGUUGACGGAGCGAAGCGACGUCAAACCGAUAAAACAGCAGUGUAAAGUGAGCCGCAGGGCGCUUUGCGCGACAGCGCAAAGGCAGGCGGUUUCGCGUAGCGAAAGCGAAUGCUUUGGGGUGGGGUGACUGCGUACCUUUUGUAUAAUGGGUCAGCGACUUAUAUUCUGUAGCAAGGUUAACCGAAUAGGGGAGCCGGAGGGAAACCGAGUCUUAACCGGGCGUUAAGUUGCAGGGUAUAGACCCGAAACCCGGUGAUCUAGCCAUGGGCAGGUUGAAGGUUGGGUAACACUAACUGGAGGACCGAACCGACUAAUGUUGAAAAAUUAGCGGAUGACCUGUGGCUGGGGGUGAAAGGCCAAUCAAACCGGGAGAUAGCUGGUUCUCCCCGAAAGCUAUUUAGGUAGCGCCUCGUGAAUUCAUCUCCGGGGGUAGAGCACUGUUUCGGCUAGGGGGCCAUCCCGGCUUACCAACCCGAUGCAAACUGCGAAUACCGGAGAAUGUUAUCACGGGAGACACACGGCGGGUGCUAACGUCCGUCGUGAAGAGGGAAACAACCCAGACCGCCAGCUAAGGUCCCAAAGUCAUGGUUAAGUGGGAAACGAUGUGGGAAGGCCCAGACAGCCAGGAUGUUGGCUUAGAAGCAGCCAUCAUUUAAAGAAAGCGUAAUAGCUCACUGGUCGAGUCGGCCUGCGCGGAAGAUGUAACGGGGCUAAACCAU